GAUGAACGCUAGCGGCAGGCUUAACACAUGCAAGUCGGGGGGGUAUGGUUCUUCGGAACCAGAGACCGGCGCACGGGUGCGUAACGCGUAUGCAAUCUACCUUUUACAGAGGGAUAGCCCAGAGAAAUUUGGAUUAAUACCUCAUAGUAUAACAUGGCCGCAUGGUCGAGUUAUUAAAGUCACAACGGUAAAAGAUAAGC
This 200-nucleotide ribosomal RNA is filed under the name uncultured bacterium. RNAcentral's name for it is "partial 16S ribosomal RNA". It matches the Rfam family "Bacterial small subunit ribosomal RNA", at positions 28 to 230 of the family's 1533-position model. The record is from RNAcentral.